GUGUUUCACUGCCUAAUGAAGGAAGAAGUAGUGAAGCAGUGCCGAGUACACUUUUGCUGGGGAAGAUUUCAUCUGAGUAAUUAUCCUGACUGGAGUGGGUCAGGUGCAACUGCUGGAUCUACACCAAGGCAUUUAAACCACAAAUCACCAUCCCAGGCUUUGUGGAGUCUAAAUUCCAAUGGAACAAGUUCAACUUUCAGUGGCUCAGAUUUCCUUCCCAGGACUUCUCCGGAUAUAAAUUUUAGGAUUGCUGAAGUUCAUUACAACCCCAGUGCUGUAUCUCCAGAAGAUGGUGAGACCAAACAUUCUUGUUCACGAAGAAUGCCACCCAUGGAUACAGGGCUGCACUAUCCACAGAAAGCAAGAUUUUUUCAUUGAUACUGAAU
Athene cunicularia (burrowing owl) is the source of this 386-nucleotide long non-coding RNA. RefSeq lists it as uncharacterized. The record is from RefSeq and is a predicted model, not a curated record. NCBI's taxonomy places the organism in Eukaryota, Metazoa, Chordata, Aves, Strigiformes, Strigidae. The transcript has 3 exons.